Molecule: ribosomal RNA, 571 nt
Filed under: Saccharomyces cerevisiae (brewer's yeast)
Lineage: Eukaryota; Fungi; Ascomycota; Saccharomycetes; Saccharomycetales; Saccharomycetaceae
Description: SSU rRNA
Rfam family: Eukaryotic small subunit ribosomal RNA
Source: RNAcentral
UGCGCUGUUUUUCACCAGGAACAUUAAGUUGUGCAAAAAAAUAAAUCUUCCAGUGAAACUGCGAAUGGCUCAUUAAAUCAGUUAUCGUUUAUUUGAUAGUUCCUUUACUACAUGGUAUAACUGUGGUAAUUCUAGAGCUAAUACAUGCUUAAAAUCUCGACCCUUUGGAAGAGAUGUAUUUAUUAGAUAAAAAAUCAAUGUCUUCGGACUCUUUGAUGAUUCAUAAUAACUUUUCGAAUCGCAUGGCCUUGUGCUGGCGAUGGUUCAUUCAAAUUUCUGCCCUAUCAACUUUCGAUGGUAGGAUAGUGGCCUACCAUGGUUUCAACGGGUAACGGGGAAUAAGGGUUCGAUUCCGGAGAGGGAGCCUGAGAAACGGCUACCACAUCCAAGGAAGGCAGCAGGCGCGCAAAUUACCCAAUCCUAAUUCAGGGAGGUAGUGACAAUAAAUAACGAUACAGGGCCCAUUCGGGUCUUGUAAUUGGAAUGAGUACAAUGUAAAUACCUUAACGAGGAACAAUUGGAGGGCAAGUCUGGUGCCAGCAGCCGCGGUAAUUCCAGCUCCAAUAGCGUA